Molecule: ribosomal RNA, 277 nt
Filed under: uncultured bacterium
Lineage: Bacteria
Description: partial 16S ribosomal RNA
Rfam family: Bacterial small subunit ribosomal RNA
Source: RNAcentral
AGCGCACCCUUGUCUUAGUUGCCAUCAUUUAAUUGGGAACUCUAAUGGGACUGCCGGUGUUAUACCGGAGGAAAGUGGGGAUGACAUCAAGUCCUCAUGGCCCUUAUAGGGUGGGCUACACACGUGCUACAAUGGCGACUACAGAGGGUUAAUCCUUAACAGUUGUCUCAGUUCAUAUUGUCCUCUGCAACUCAAGGGCAUGAAGUUUGAAUCUCUAGUAAUCGCGGAUCAACAUGCCGCGGUGAAUACAUUCCCGGGCCUUGUACACACCGCCCGU